UAGGGAAUAUUGCUCAAUGGGCGAAAGCCUGAAGCAGCAACGCCGCGUGUGCGAUGAAGGUCUUCGGAUCGUAAAGCACUUUUCUGCGAGAUGAGAAAGGACAGUAUCGUAGGAAUAAGUCUCGGCUAACUACGUGCCAGCAGCCGCGGUAACACGUAGGAGGCGAGCGUUAUCCGGAUUCACUGGGCGUAAAGCGCGUGCAGGCGGUUUGGUAAGUUGGGCGUGAAAGCUCCCGGCUCAACUGGGAGAGGUCGUCCAAUACUACCAGACUUGAGAGCAGAAGAGGAAGAUGGAAUUCCCGGUGUAGUGGUGAAAUGCGUAGAUAUCGGGAGGAACACCAGUGGCGAAGGCGGUCUUCUGGUCUGUUUCUGACGCUCAGACGCGACAGCUAGGGUAGUAAACGGGAUUAGAGACCCCGGUAAUCCUAGCCGUAAACGAUGUGAACUUGGCGUUGGUGGCUUAAACACCAUCAGUGCCGAAGCAAACGCGAUAAGUUCACCGCCUGGGGACUACGGCCGCAAGGUUA
This 526-nucleotide ribosomal RNA is filed under the name uncultured bacterium. Its description in RNAcentral is "bacterial SSU rRNA". It matches the Rfam family "Bacterial small subunit ribosomal RNA", at positions 355 to 896 of the family's 1533-position model. The record is from RNAcentral.